RNAcentral lists this transfer RNA (89 nucleotides) under Rhodonia placenta. Its description in RNAcentral is "Postia placenta tRNA". It matches the Rfam family "tRNA". Rfam says of the family: Transfer RNA (tRNA) molecules are approximately 80 nucleotides in length. Their secondary structure includes four short double-helical elements and three loops (D, anti-codon, and T loops). Further hydrogen bonds mediate the characteristic L-shaped molecular structure. tRNAs have two regions of fundamental functional importance: the anti-codon, which is responsible for specific mRNA codon recognition, and the 3' end, to which the tRNAs corresponding amino acid is attached (by aminoacyl-tRNA synthetases). tRNAs cope with the degeneracy of the genetic code in two manners: having more than one tRNA (with a specific anti-codon) for a particular amino acid; and 'wobble' base-pairing, i.e. permitting non-standard base-pairing at the 3rd anti-codon position. Lineage: Eukaryota; Fungi; Basidiomycota; Agaricomycetes; Polyporales; Adustoporiaceae. The record is from Rfam by way of RNAcentral. RNAcentral also lists the same sequence under 2 other names.
GCUCUCGUCGUCUAAUGGUUAUGAUGUCAGAUUCCUAUCUAUAGGAAGCCUUUAUCUGAAGGUUCCGGGUUCGAGUCCCGGCGGGAGUA